RNAcentral lists this ribosomal RNA (217 nucleotides) under uncultured bacterium. Its description in RNAcentral is "partial 16S ribosomal RNA". It matches the Rfam family "Bacterial small subunit ribosomal RNA", at positions 328 to 539 of the family's 1533-position model. The record is from RNAcentral.
ACGCUCGACACCUACGGGAGGCGCAGUGAGGAAUAUUGGUCAAUGGGCGCAGGCCUGAACCAGCCAAGUAGCGUGAAGGAUGACUGCCCUAUGGGUUGUAAACUUCUUUUAUAUGGGAAUAAAGUUUUCCACGUGUGGAAUUUUGUAUGUACCAUAUGAAUAAGGAUCGGCUAACUCCGUGCCGGCAGCCGCGGUAAUCUGAGCGGGCUGGCAAGGC